UAUGAAGGGUGCAAGCGUUACUCGGAAUUACUGGGCGUAAAGCGUGCGUAGGUGGUGAGUUAAGUCUGUCGUGAAAGCCCCGGGCUCAACCUGGGAAUGGCGAUGGAUACUGGCUCGCUAGAGUGCGGUAGAGGAGAGUGGAAUUCCCGGUGUAGCAGUGAAAUGCGUAGAGAUCGGGAGGAACAUCAGUUGCGAAGGCGGCUCUCUGGACCAGCACUGACACUGAGGCACGAAAGCGUGGGGAGCAAACAGG
This 253-nucleotide ribosomal RNA is filed under the name uncultured bacterium. Its description in RNAcentral is "partial 16S ribosomal RNA". It matches the Rfam family "Bacterial small subunit ribosomal RNA", at positions 524 to 776 of the family's 1533-position model. The record is from RNAcentral.